GGCCAUUUCUCAUGGAAAAUCAGGAAAAGAGAAUGAAACAUUAAUUUUCAUGUUGAGUUAUUACAGACAUCAGCAGUAUGGACCAAGCACCCAUGAGAUAACGAGUCCUGAACUGGGCACCAAGAGAGGGUCACAGAUAUAAAGAGUUUGCCUUGAGUCUCAGAUGAAACUUUGAAUAUUGGACAUUUGAGUUGAUGCUGGAACAAGUUAAGAGUUUUGAAGACUAUGGGAUAGAAUGACUAUAUUCAACACUGAAAGAACGAAGACAAUGGCUCUUCCAGAGGAAGAAAGAUUAUCCUGUCCUGGCUAUCUUGUCUAUUACCAACAUUCCAGGAUGAAGAAAUAUGGUGAUACACUCAGGCCACUGGAAUGGCCUCCAGUACAGCAGUGAAUACCAGUGGAAUGCAACUUCUUUUGCUUUAGAAGACAAGCUCUUAGCAAUGUCAAGUUUCCAGGUACGACCGAGAGAUAUUCAACAUAUUAUAAUUUCCACUAAGAUGGGAAACAUUUCCUAGGGGUUAUUUCUCUUUGACAGCAGAGAAGUAUCCAAGUUAUUCUAGAUAAUAAAGCAAAGUUUUCCUCAAGUCCUGUAUUAUAUGAGACUGCUGUUUCUGAAAAUUAUAGUCCCACAGCAACCUACGAAGUUUAGAGAUCAAUAUUUGAUUUUUCUAUCUUGCUAAAUAUUCUUCAAAUCAAGUAUUAGUUGUCCCUGUCACUCAGCAUGAAGAAAAACUGUGUUAAAGAGGACCUGGAGAAGUAAACUGACUACUGACUUACCAGACUCCAGAACUAUAACAAGUAAAUUUCUGUUGUUUAUAAGCUACCCAGAUUAUCGGGUUUUGUUUUAGCAGCCCAGGUGGACUAAGGCAAGGGUUCUUUUUGCUUUUUCCAUAUAUUUGUGUUUGUGUAUAUGUAUAUGUGAGAUAGAAAAAAAGAAUUUGUUAUGAUUCAUCACAGAGUUAAAAUAUUUUAAGAAUAUAAACUUUUCUACAAAAAUGUAAUUCAAGUUUUAGUGAGAAAGUUAUGUAAAAUGAAUGUAUAUAAAACAACUCUUCCUAGAGGACACCUGUUCUGGCAGGUGAGAAACUGAUAGCGAUGUGCUGCACUGAGAAGAUAAAUGUAACCAGCAUACUCAGUAGCAUCUUCAUAUACUUCUUUUGGAGGAAGCUCAUCAAACUAAGGUGUGGCUUCCCCACUCAGGCCUUUGCUGGCGAUCCAGCCUCACUAUUCUUCUUUCUUUGUGCUGUUACUCUUCCAGGUAGCCCUCUGCUUUUGAUCACUAGGUUUUUCUUUUCCAUCUCUGUAUUUCCUUGGUAGAAGGGACAGUAUGAACAAAGCUGGAAUUCAAUCUGUUCACACUUUUGUACUGAAAAUAUGUAAGUAUCCUUCAAUACUAUGUGUUAUAUAAAAAAUUACUAACCAUAAAAUAAUUGUCAGGAAAACCCAACCUUCCUAUUGACAGUUUUACCAAAGCAUCAAAAAUAAAUUUGUUUCCAAUAAAGUGCUUGAUCCUUAUGCAUACAUGCAGGGCAACUACUGAAUCUCCAAUCAGUGACCAUGAAUAAUACUUUUGUUUUUUGGCCUUGAACCUAUUGCAUAUGUUCUAGCCACUUCCUCUUCCUGGGGAAACAUUGAUUUUCUUAUGAAAAACAGCUCUCCAAUCAGGAAAUGGUAUGUGCCUUAUUAAGAAAUACUUUGAUCUGAAUGUUUGUGACCCCUCUAAAUUUAUGGGUUGGAAUCCUAACCCCCAAGGUGAUGUAUUAGAAGAUGGAGAUUUGGGGGACAUGAUUUGGUAAUGAGGAUGUAACCCUCAUGAAUAGAAUUAGUAUCCUUAUAAAUGAGGAACCAGAGAACUACCUUGUCCCUUUCACUAUAUGAGGACACAGCUAGAGGACACCUUCUAUGAAUCCGGAAAUGGAUCCUCAACGAGACACUUCAUCAGCAGAUGCCUUAUCUUGGACUUCCCAGCCUCCAGAAUUAUAACAAAUAAAUUUCUGUUGUUUAUAAAAAAAAAAAAAAAAAAAAAAA
Molecule: long non-coding RNA, 2028 nt
Filed under: Homo sapiens (human)
Lineage: Eukaryota; Metazoa; Chordata; Mammalia; Primates; Hominidae
Description: long independently transcribed non-coding RNA 1689 (LINC01689)
Source: RNAcentral